Rhagoletis zephyria (snowberry fruit fly) is the source of this 1233-nucleotide long non-coding RNA. RefSeq lists it as uncharacterized. NCBI's taxonomy places the organism in Eukaryota, Metazoa, Arthropoda, Insecta, Diptera, Tephritidae. The record is from RefSeq and is a predicted model, not a curated record.
GCUAGUAGUGGCAGUUGAACGCGAGCCCUUGGCUGGAAAGGGUACACAGCUCAGCACUUACCACGGCAUACGGGCACCAAGCGAGUAGUAAAACAGCACACAAAAGCAAACAUACAGAAUUUAGUGGUGCUGCAAAUUGUGUGAAAAAGUGAAAAUUUAAGUAAAUUUAGACAAUAAAGAAAUCUGUGAAUAAUUAACCAAGCCGAGAAAAGGGUUUAUAUCAAAUACGAACUGAAACUAAUACUUUAAAACUGUUGGAUAUUGAAUGCUUUUUUGCUGAAAGCAUAAAUAGGCAGAACAUAGAAAAUGUAACUGUUCUACGCUACGAUGAUGAGGGUCGCAGAAAAAGCGCUUAAUGGUUGUUGUAACGCGCUCUUAAACUUUUUCACUCGACGCGCAUAGCAAGUACACAAAAAAAAUAAAGGAAAAAAAAUUAAUAAAUUGAACUGUGCUGUAGACGAUAAAGAAAGCAGAAGGCGCACAUUAAACAACAGCAAAACAAAAACAAGCUAGAAAAAAACACUGAACUUUGAAAUGCAUAAGCGUACAAUAAAGGCAAAAAACUUUGUCUUCGUCUGCGUUUGGACUUGGACUUGGUCUCGAUGCUAAAGCGUAAACGUAGUAGGCGAGCGUAGCAAUAGUGUGUGUGUGAGACGCACAUGCAGGCAUACAUUCAAGUAGCGCUACACACGCACAUACUAUACACACACUCACGCGCGUGCUCGCGCGCGCUCACACUCCAUUUUCUACAUCACUUUGUGCCUGUGCAUCAGCCUAGCGGCUCAGCACCUGCCCCAUCGUCAGCGUCAGCGCCAGCGUCAGAAUCAGAAACAGCCGCAACCUCAAUAUAAGCGGCGGCGGCGGCAUAGCAUCACCGUUAGCUUCCCAACCUAUCGCUGCCAACAUCAAACGGCCGCGCCACUGUUCAGUGUCCUUAGAGUUGUUUGUGUGUAUGUAUGUUUGUUGGCUGUGGACUGUGUCGGCUGUUGGAGUUCAGUUCAGUUUGUGUUUGCUUUGCUGCUGUAACUGCUGCCUUCACCCCAAAAUCUGUUAUUGAUUUUGGAUUCAAACACACGCACGCACGCACGCACACACACGCGCAUACAUACAUACUUCGUCGUCGUCGUCGUCGUCCUCUUCGCAGGCUGCUAACGAGAGAGAGUCAACCAACAGCAUACAAACAACCACUAAACGAAUAGCAGUAAACGCAUACGGUGUUGGCGCAGCAGCGCG